Molecule: long non-coding RNA, 385 nt
Organism: Nematolebias whitei (Rio pearlfish)
Lineage: Eukaryota; Metazoa; Chordata; Actinopteri; Cyprinodontiformes; Rivulidae
Exons: 3
Source: RefSeq, a predicted model, not a curated record
GUUUUUAUUGCUGCAGUGAUGAUGAGAGGGAGCUGAGAACGGCUGCAUGCAGCAAGAAGCACAGGCCAUCACAAGAUGUCGGGGAUUUCAUUUUCCACUGGACCCUCAAAGGGUUAAAUGACGAUCCUGUCCUGUAAAUGACUGGAGCCUCUUCACUGAAGGCACCAAGGAUAUUCAACUGAUCUCCAAGGCGCCUGAUUUCUUCUGAUGAAAAUGACGGGCCCAAUUUUGGCAAGAGGGAAGUUUCAAGAUCUCCAUUUUUACAUUUUGCACCACUGGACAUUUAGGUAGUGCUGUUCCUGUCCGUUAGCUGACCAUACUUCCAAUUAUUCUAUAUACUCCUCUUAGAAUUAAAACUAACCAUAACCUACUAACACAUCCAUCA